AUUGAACGCUGGCGGUAGGCCUAACACAUGCAAGUCGAGCGGCAGAAGAGUGAUUGCUCCUGGAUUCAGGGGCGGACUGGUGAGUAAUGCCGGGGAAUCUCCGUGUUAACGUGUGAGAACGUCCGGACACAGGCGCUAAUACCGCAUAACUCCUGAGGGCGAAAGUGGGAGAGCUUCGGACCUCCCGAUAUCACAUGAUCCUAGGUCGGAUUAGCUAGUUGGUGGGGUAAAGGCCUACCAAGGCGACGAUCCGUAGCUGGUCUGAGAGGAUGAUCAGCCACACUGGAACUGAGACACGGUCCAGACUCCUACGGGAGGCAGCAGUGGGGAAUAUUGGACAAUGGGCGCAAGCCUGAUCCAGCCAUGCCGCGUGUGUGAAGAAGGCCUUCGGGUUGUAAAGCCCUUUUAGUUGGGAAGAAGAGCAGCAAGUUAAUACCCCGCUGUUUUGACGUUACCAACAGAAUAAGCACCGGCUAACUUCGUG
RNAcentral lists this ribosomal RNA (484 nucleotides) under uncultured bacterium. RNAcentral describes it as "partial 16S ribosomal RNA". It matches the Rfam family "Bacterial small subunit ribosomal RNA", at positions 30 to 507 of the family's 1533-position model. The record is from RNAcentral.